RNAcentral lists this ribosomal RNA (459 nucleotides) under uncultured bacterium. Its description in RNAcentral is "partial 16S ribosomal RNA". It matches the Rfam family "Bacterial small subunit ribosomal RNA", at positions 338 to 795 of the family's 1533-position model. The record is from RNAcentral.
CCUACUGGAGGCAGCAGUGAGGAAUAUUGGUCAAUGGCCGGGAGGCUGAACCAGCCAAGUCGCGUGAGGGAAGACGGCCCUACGGGUUGUAAACCUCUUUUGUCAGGGAGCAAGGUGUAGGGCGGCACCUGCUGUGAGAGUACCUGAAGUAAAAGCAUCGGCUAACUCCGUUCCAGCAGCCGCGGUAAUACGGAGGAAGCGCGGGUUAUCCGGAUUUAUUGGGUUAAAGGGGUGCGCAGGCGGAGGCCAAAGUGAGCGGUAAUAUCGCGGGGCUCAACCCCGCUCCGCCGUUGAAACUGUGUCCCUUGAGUGCGCGAAGGGUAGGCGGAAGGCGUGGUGUAGCGGUGAAAUGCAUAGAUAUCACGCAGAACUCCGAUCGCGAAGGCAGCCUACCGGCGCGCAACUGACGCUCAUGCACGAAAGCGUGGGUAUCGAACAGGAUUAGAUACCCGUGUAGUC